AGCGUAAAAGCAAAAUAAAUUCAUACAUACUGUAAUACAAUAAGCCAGAGUAUUUAAUUUAAUUUACAAUAACCGAUGGGCCCCCGAAUAACCAAAAGUAAGAAAAACUGUGAACCUACAGUUUGGAGGAUGUAAAUCAGAUAGUAGCCUCGAUGAAAUCAGCUAUCUACAGCCUAUUCUGAGCUUGAAAUGGGUGGAAAGGAGGGUGGUGAGAUUAUAUAAU
Molecule: long non-coding RNA, 223 nt
Filed under: Theobroma cacao (cacao)
Lineage: Eukaryota; Viridiplantae; Streptophyta; Magnoliopsida; Malvales; Malvaceae
Description: long non-coding RNA (TCAC_LNC005649)
Source: RNAcentral